RNAcentral lists this ribosomal RNA (112 nucleotides) under Oryza glaberrima (African rice). RNAcentral describes it as "rRNA EPlOGLG00000000394". The record is from RNAcentral. Lineage: Eukaryota; Viridiplantae; Streptophyta; Magnoliopsida; Poales; Poaceae.
GGGGAGAAUCGGAUGUAACUUUUUCUGUAGAUGUCCGUGGAUAUAUUAUAUGACUGAUUCCAAGUCUGUAUGAGAAAGUUACGCCUAUUUUAAUAAAUGACACCCGAAUGAC